GACGAACGCUGGCGGCGUGCUUAACACAUGCAAGUCGAACGGAAAGGCCCUGCUUUUGUGGGGUGCUCGAGUGGCGAACGGGUGAGUAACACGUGAGUAACCUGCCCUUGACUUUGGGAUAACUUCAGGAAACUGGGGCUAAUACCGGAUAGGAGCUCCUGCUGCAUGGUGGGGGUUGGUAAGUUUCGGCGGUUGGGGAUGGACUCGUGGCUUAUCAGCUUGUUGGUGGGGUAGUGGCUUACCAAGGCUUUGACGGGUAGCCGGCCUGAGAGGGUGACCGGCCACAUUGGGACUGAGAUACGGCCCAGACUCCUACGAGAGGCGGCAGUGGGGAAUAUUGCACAAUGGGCGGAAGCCUGAUGCAGCAACGCCGCGUGCGGGAUGACGGCCUUCGGGUUGUAAACCGCUUUCGCCUGUGACGAAGCGUGAGUGACGGUAAUGGGUAAAGAAGCACCGGCUAACUACGUG
RNAcentral lists this ribosomal RNA (468 nucleotides) under uncultured bacterium. RNAcentral describes it as "partial 16S ribosomal RNA". It matches the Rfam family "Bacterial small subunit ribosomal RNA", at positions 28 to 507 of the family's 1533-position model. The record is from RNAcentral.